This 497-nucleotide ribosomal RNA is filed under the name uncultured bacterium. RNAcentral's name for it is "partial 16S ribosomal RNA". It matches the Rfam family "Bacterial small subunit ribosomal RNA", at positions 28 to 507 of the family's 1533-position model. The record is from RNAcentral.
GACGAACGCUGGCGGCGUGCCUAAUACAUGCAAGUUGAGCGCUGAAGGUUGGUACUUGUACCAACUGGAUGAGCAGCGAACGGGUGAGUAACGCGUGGGGAAUCUGCCUUUGAGCGGGGGACAACAUUUGGAAACGAAUGCUAAUACCGCAUAAAAACUUUAAACACAAGUUUUAAGUUUGAAAGAUGCAAUUGCAUCACUCAAAGAUGAUCCCGCGUUGUAUUAGCUAGUUGGUGAGGUAAAGGCUCACCAAGGCGAUGAUACAUAGCCGACCUGAGAGGGUGAGCGGCCACAUUGGGACUGAGACACGGCCCAAACUCCUACGGGAGGCAGCAGGAGGGAAUCUUCGGCAAUGGACGAAAGUCUGACCGAGCAACGCCGCGUGAGUGAAGAAGGUUGUCGGAUCGUAAAACUCGGUUGGUAGAGAAGAACGUUGGUGAGAGUGGAAAGCUCAUCAAGUGACGGUAACUACUCAGAAAGGGACGGCUAACUACGUG